CCCCCCCCCCCUGCAUGCCUCCUCCCAAACUCCCAUUUCAAAAACUGUUCCAAGAUUUAGCUUUCAUAUUCCACAGCUCUAUUCCUCAUAGAGUAUCAGCUCCUUGUUCAUCUUUCUUUUACUCUUCAUAUAGUUCUUCUUCUUCUUCUUCUUCUUCUUCUUCUUCUUCUUCCUCUUCCUCUUUCUCAUCCUCUUCCCCUUCCUCUUCCUCUUUCUCAUCCUCUUCCCCUUCCUCUUCCUCUUCCGCUUUCUCAUCCUCUUCCGAUUCCUCUUCCCCUUCCUCUUUCUCUUCCUCUUCCCCUUCCUCAUCCUCACUCACUCACACACAAUUUAAUUCGUGUGGGGAAUUUCACAACAGGAUCGAGUAAAACUGGAAACGACAGCUCGCACGGCAUUUGUUCGAGUUCCAUGAUAUCACUAUUCACAUUGAAGACCGCCAUGUUGUCAAGCUGUGACGAGCGCUUCGUUCCGUUGGAGGGCUUGCUCGAGUGCUUUGAAUCAAGCUCGCCGUUUUCUGACGGUACGUCAUGGUCACCCUUGACACGUAAAUGUGUGCGUUCCUCGACCCUCGGACGGACGUUAAUACUGGGUGUCUCGCCUGCCGACGAGUUCCAACGGUUUUUGGCGUCGAGGAGCUGGCGAGAUCAAGAUGGACAGCCUGCCGAAUAAACAAGGAAGUCCUCGUGCUGCUGCCAGCAUGGUUCCAUCUAUGCGGUCAUCUUUCUCUUCACAACGCAAGCGCAAACGUUCAAGAAUGUCCUUGAGCCAUGCACCAUCAUCCAUCUCACGGGGGAGAGGUCCACUUGCAUCCCCUUCCUUGACAUGCAGUCUCAACCCGCAGAACAGCUUGUGUCGCUCACUUAUGCUCAGGUACAAGUCAUCUCCACUGAAAGGGCAAACCAAGCUUUCCACACGUACACCUGAAAUGACUCCCUUCACUCUUAUGAGCAAGAUCGUUAGAAAUGGUCCAUUCAAGUCACCUGCUGUGUUUCAAAAAUCCCCAAUAUUGUCAAUUGAACAACAAGAACCCAGGAUUCCCUCUUCAACGAAGGCUUCUCGUCACUCACACACAAAAUCCUUGACAAAGUUGAAUAUACAGCACAAGGUGAUUGUGGAUAAGGCGCUGAAACCGCGUCAACGUUGGAAACAUCAAAGCCGUGUUGACCCACAGGCUUUCGCUCAAGGUAUGAGGAGAAAACUUCUGGAAACCAUUGGUGAUUGCAUCUGGAAGGUUGUUUCACUCAGCUGCUCUUGUGCUUUUAUUACUUAUCAAUACUUCAAUAUUUUUCCUUGGCAGUUGAAUUUAUUUUAUUUUAUUUAAAUAGGAUGCCUUUCUGUGCUGUCACAACCACUACGAUUUUCAGUACUCCGCAUGGUUCACACAGUCCUCGAAACUCCUUGAAAUUCCUGCAAAAUGAAAAGCAUUUUCAAGUUCUGGAAAGUUCUCGACAGUAUGGAUUUUAUCUUUUACAUCAUUAUCAGUUCUUGAGUUAAUGAUUCUUGAGUUAAUCCCCCCAAUGUUUUUCUAUUCUAUCUGCUGCUAAUUAUGUGUCGAUGGAUUGAAAGUUGGAAAAUUGGGGAAAUUAUACCGGGGAUGAAACGUGCUAAUCUCACAAUGCAUUCCCAUCCCCCCCCCCCCAAAUCCCCUGGACAAAGGGCAAGGUCUGUCUAAUCAUACAUCCCCCCCCCC
Molecule: long non-coding RNA, 1690 nt
Filed under: Eptatretus burgeri (inshore hagfish)
Lineage: Eukaryota; Metazoa; Chordata; Myxini; Myxiniformes; Myxinidae
Description: lncRNA (ENSEBUG00000017447.1)
Source: RNAcentral